This 253-nucleotide ribosomal RNA is filed under the name uncultured bacterium. RNAcentral describes it as "partial 16S ribosomal RNA". It matches the Rfam family "Bacterial small subunit ribosomal RNA", at positions 524 to 776 of the family's 1533-position model. The record is from RNAcentral.
UACGUAGGGGGCAAGCGUUGUCCGGAUUUAUUGGGCGUAAAGAGCGUGUAGGCGGCCAUACAGGUCAGCUGUGAAAACUCGAGGCUCAACCUCGAGACGUCGGUUGAAACCGUCUGGCUAGAGUCCGGAAGAGGAGAGUGGAAUUCCCGGUGUAGCGGUGAAAUGCGCAGAUAUCGGGAAGAACACCCGUGGCGAAGGCGGCUCUCUGGGACGGUACUGACGCUGAGACGCGAAAGCGUGGGGAGCGAACAGG